Small nucleolar RNA from Tachyglossus aculeatus (Australian echidna), 65 nucleotides. RefSeq annotates it as small nucleolar RNA SNORD42. The transcript has a single exon. NCBI's taxonomy places the organism in Eukaryota, Metazoa, Chordata, Mammalia, Monotremata, Tachyglossidae. The record is from RefSeq and is a predicted model, not a curated record.
AUGCGAAUGAUGGAAAACGAUUCUGGCUGAGAACCGUGAUGUUGUCAAAGGAACCACUGAUGCAC